CAGGCAGAGGGAGCAACAUGAUGUCUCAAACCCAGGUUCUCAUGGCCCUGGUGUUCUGGGUUUCUGGUGCCUGUGCAGAUAUUGUGAUGACCCAGUCUCCAUCCUCCCUGGCUGUGUCAGCAGGAGAGAAAGUCACCAUCAGCUGCAGGUCCAGUCAGAGUCUUUUAUACAGUGGAAACCAGAAGAACUACCUGGCCUGGUACCAGCAGAAACCAGGACAGGCUCCUAAACUACUGAUCUACUUGGCAUCCACUCGGCACACUGGGGUCCCUGAUCGCUUCACAGGCAGUGGAUCUGGGACAGAUUUCACUCUCACCAUCAGCAGUGUUCAGGCUGAAGACCUGGCAGAUUACUACUGUCAGCAAACUCUCAGCACUCCUCCCACAGUGCUUCAGCCUCCAACAAAAACAUCUCUGAGAUUCUCAGCAGCUGUCUGCCCCACACAGCCCUGGACCUGCACACUUCCCCCUGCUUCUUGA
Non-coding RNA from Microtus oregoni (creeping vole), 479 nucleotides. The record is from the annotation of a RefSeq genome assembly. NCBI's taxonomy places the organism in Eukaryota, Metazoa, Chordata, Mammalia, Rodentia, Cricetidae.